RNAcentral lists this ribosomal RNA (156 nucleotides) under uncultured bacterium. Its description in RNAcentral is "partial 16S ribosomal RNA". It matches the Rfam family "Bacterial small subunit ribosomal RNA", at positions 196 to 354 of the family's 1533-position model. The record is from RNAcentral.
GGUGUAAGAAACUCUGGUGGUAUACGAUGGUUCCGCGUCUGAUUAGCUAGUUGGUGGGGUAAUGGCCUACCAAGGCAACGAUCAGUAGCCGGCCUGAGAGGGUGAACGGCCACAUUGGGACUGAGACACGGCCCAAACUCCUACGGAAGGCAGCAG